RNAcentral lists this transfer RNA (89 nucleotides) under Oscillospiraceae bacterium. RNAcentral's name for it is "tRNA-Ser". It matches the Rfam family "tRNA". Rfam says of the family: Transfer RNA (tRNA) molecules are approximately 80 nucleotides in length. Their secondary structure includes four short double-helical elements and three loops (D, anti-codon, and T loops). Further hydrogen bonds mediate the characteristic L-shaped molecular structure. tRNAs have two regions of fundamental functional importance: the anti-codon, which is responsible for specific mRNA codon recognition, and the 3' end, to which the tRNAs corresponding amino acid is attached (by aminoacyl-tRNA synthetases). tRNAs cope with the degeneracy of the genetic code in two manners: having more than one tRNA (with a specific anti-codon) for a particular amino acid; and 'wobble' base-pairing, i.e. permitting non-standard base-pairing at the 3rd anti-codon position. Lineage: Bacteria; Bacillati; Bacillota; Clostridia; Eubacteriales; Oscillospiraceae. The record is from RNAcentral.
GCAGGCUUAUCGAAGUGGUCACAACGAGGCGGUCUUGAAAACCGUUAGGGCGAAAGCCCACGGGGGUUCGAAUCCCUCAGCCUGCGCCA